GGGCCGGUAGCUCAGUUGGGAGAGCGCAGCUUUCGCACGGCUGAGGUCACGGGUUCAAGUCCCGUCCGGUCCACCA
RNAcentral lists this transfer RNA (76 nucleotides) under Acidobacteriota bacterium. RNAcentral describes it as "Acidobacteria bacterium tRNA-Ala". It matches the Rfam family "tRNA". From Rfam's summary of the family: Transfer RNA (tRNA) molecules are approximately 80 nucleotides in length. Their secondary structure includes four short double-helical elements and three loops (D, anti-codon, and T loops). Lineage: Bacteria; Pseudomonadati; Acidobacteriota. RNAcentral also lists the same sequence under 1 other name. The record is from RNAcentral.